Molecule: ribosomal RNA, 382 nt
Filed under: Paxillosida sp. USNM IZ 1448219
Lineage: Eukaryota; Metazoa; Echinodermata; Asteroidea; Paxillosida
Also listed under: 2 other names
Description: SSU rRNA
Rfam family: Eukaryotic small subunit ribosomal RNA
Source: RNAcentral
AUGCAUGUCUAAGUACGAGCUCGGAGGAGCGAAACUGCGGAUGGCUCAUUAAAUCAGUCGUGGUCCCUUGGAGCGCAUCCCCCACACGGAUAACUGUGGUAAUUCCAGAGCUAAUACAUGCACCGAAAGCGCCGACCUCGCGGAAGGCGUGCUCUUAUUAGGAACAAGACCAACCCGUCGGUCGGUUCGCGCCGGCCGGCGGCUCUCGUUGGCGAACUCUGGAUAAACAGGCCGACCGCACGGUCGUCGCACCGGCGGCGGAUCCUUCGAGCGUCUGCCCUAUCAACUUUCGAUGGUACGUUACUUGCCUACCAUGGUGGUCACGGGUGACGGAGAAUCAGGGUUCGAUUCCGGAGAGGGAGCUUGAGAAACGGCUACCACA